AUUGAACGCUGGCGGCAUGCCUUACACAUGCAAGUCGAACGGCAGCACGGGUGCUUGCACCUGGUGGCGAGUGGCGAACGGGUGAGUAAUAUAUCGGAACGUACCUUAUUGUGGGGGAUAACGCAGCGAAAGCUGUGCUAAUACCGCAUAAUCCCUAAGGGGGAGAGCGGGGGACCGCAAGGCCUCGCGCAAUUAGAGCGGCCGAUACCUGAUUAGCUAGUUGGUGAGGUAAAGGCUCACCAAGGCAACGAUCAGUAGCUGGUCUGAGAGGACGAUCAGCCACGCUGGGACUGAGACACGGCCCAGACUCCUACGGGAGGCAGCAGUGGGGAAUUUUGGACAAUGGGGGCAACCCUGAUCCAGCAAUGCCGCGUGAGUGAAGAAGGCCUUCGGGUUGUAAAGCUCUUUUGUCAGGGAAGAAACAGCAGCUCUAACACAGUUUGCGAAUGACGGUACCUGAAGAAUAAGCACCGGCUAACUACGUGCCAGCCGCCGCGGUAA
Molecule: ribosomal RNA, 501 nt
Filed under: uncultured bacterium
Lineage: Bacteria
Description: partial 16S ribosomal RNA
Rfam family: Bacterial small subunit ribosomal RNA
Source: RNAcentral